Molecule: ribosomal RNA, 429 nt
Filed under: uncultured bacterium
Lineage: Bacteria
Description: bacterial SSU rRNA
Rfam family: Bacterial small subunit ribosomal RNA
Source: RNAcentral
UGGGGAAUCUUGCGCAAUGGGCGAAAGCCUGACGCAGCCACGCCGCGUGAGUGAAGAAGGCCUUCGGGUUGUAAAGCUCUGUCGCCCGGGACGAAAAUACUUGGGGUUAACAGCCUCAGGGACUGACGGUACCGGGAGAGGAAGCACCGGCUAACUUCGUGCCAGCAGCCGCGGUAAUACGAGGGGUGCAAGCGUUGCUCGGAAUUAUUGGGCGUAAAGGGUAGGUAGGUGGUCUCAUUUGUCUGGGGUGAAAUCCUUGAGCUUAACUCAAGAAGUGCCCCAGAAACGGUGAGACUCGAGUACUGGAGAGGGUCGUGGAAUUCCCGGUGUAGCGGUGAAAUGCGUAGAGAUCGGGAGGAACACCAGAGGCGAAGGCGGCGACCUGGACAGUGACUGACACUCAACGACGAAAGCGUGGGGAGCAAACAG